GCAAACAAAACUAUUUUUCUUUGCUUCCUAUGCAUCAUUGAAUAGGUUUGUUGUACUCACAUACUGACACCUCAACUCCCUGUGAUAGCCAAGUGAGAGAAUCAGGUCACGACUUUGGGAAUGGAAAUGAGAGUAGGUAGAUCAGGGGAACUCAGGCUGACAACACUUUUUUAGGGGACUGGAAGAGAAAGCCAUCGGUAUGCCAUCAGUUUGAGCAUUCUGACCAUGUAUCAGGUAGUCAUCCUUGUGGAAUGGUUCUGGAUUCCAAAUGACACCUUCUUCCUCAAUGUACUCACUCCAUCACUGGCUGAACAGUCCACACUGGAGACCAUUUAAAAACGUGCCGUGUGUAAUAACCAUUAUCUACUUUAGUAGCUAGAAAGGUAAAACAAAAGUUAGCACAUAAAACUAUCUUUAGGGACUAGGACAGAAUACUAUUUCAGGAAUAAUGAACACAAUGACCAAAGCAAUUUUUCAAAAAGUACAAUGAAAACAUCCGGUACUAAGUAGCUGGCUUUUGUUUUUAAGGGUGGGGGGGACAACCCUCAAAAUGUCUUUUAUUCAAAGUAUGGUCUAAGUACCCUCUUUCCUCCCCUCAAUCUGUUUUAGGACUGGCAUUCCAGACACGAAUAUAACAUAACAUGGUUAGGUAUUCAUUGAACAGGAAGAUGCUGUUGCUCUUGGACUGAAUGCCAUCAAAGCCAUUACGACCUGGAUACAGAGCAUCUGCUGCAAACCUGUGUCUCCAGCCUGGCUUCCUAUUUUUCCCCAAGUGCAUACUUGAGGAAUGAAAUACUCAUUUCAUGUUAGCUUUUAGUGAGAUCCACGACUCUAUUUCUGAACAGACCAGAUCUUUAGUAUUUGAAUGAAUCACGACUCCACUACAAAUGUUCCUGCCUCUCCAUUUCCUCAUCUGUAGACGCGAAGCUGCGUAGAUUAAGAGAACGGCUGAGAACGGCUGAAGAGCACUUUCAAUAGCAGCUGACACACGGGAAGCACUUAACAAACACCAGCCAGUGGCAUUAAACAGAGUACAUGUUUACUUAAAUUUUACUUCCUCAAUGGCUAUUAUUUUUGAUUUUUGCAAGGCAAAAAGCAAGGAUCUCCCUGAUGCGCUCUGUGAAAGGCUGGAAUUUGAGCCAGACUUUGCCAAUGUAUUUAAUGGUACUUAACUUUCAGAACAGCUUCAGGCAAACUUUUUCAAAUGUUCUUUAUGUAGAAGUAGCUGAUCCAAAUAUGAGGUAGCACUCUUCCUGCCUGGCAUCAAUUAUUACUCUUAAUAAUAGGAGAUGGAAGGCAGUAUACGAUAUAUAUUUAUACACACACAGUGUUAUGUAUAUGUUAAAUGUGGUGAACUGACUUUUCAGGUUUGCUGUGGGGAUAAUCAAAAUGGUCAGACUCUACUUGGAAGUACAAAACCAACUUAAUCUCUUUUAUCCCAUUCCUCUACAAAAUUAAAGAUUUUGUAUAUAAAGAAGCAAACAUGUAUCAAUCACAAAAUGUAGAAAAUAUUCAAUGAUGCUAAGGACAGGGAAACAGAAGCAUACAACAGCAAAUAAAAAUUUCACAAAUUUAAACCUUACAUUGUAGAAUACCAUCUGUUUUUAGCUUGUAAUUCACAACUCCCCACAAUAAAUCUAACCUGAAGAAAAUGCUUCGUCUCUCACUCUAAAAAGCAAAAUAAAUUUCUACAGAAAGAUAAAAGUGAAAAUACGUUUUCAGCACUAAUACUUGCUUUAUUACAAACUAGCUGUACAACCCUGGCUAUGUCAUUCAAUCUCUCUGGGCCUGAGUUCUCCCACUGGAAACAGGGAUACUAGUGCCUAACACAGAGGCUCCUGUGAAUGUUAAAGAUGAUAUAAAGUACCUAGC
Long non-coding RNA from Bos taurus (domestic cattle), 1872 nucleotides. The record is from Ensembl. Lineage: Eukaryota; Metazoa; Chordata; Mammalia; Artiodactyla; Bovidae.